RNAcentral lists this ribosomal RNA (483 nucleotides) under uncultured bacterium. RNAcentral describes it as "partial 16S ribosomal RNA". It matches the Rfam family "Bacterial small subunit ribosomal RNA", at positions 30 to 507 of the family's 1533-position model. The record is from RNAcentral.
UUGAACGCUGGCGGCAGGCCUAACACAUGCAAGUCGAGCGGAUGAAGGGAGCUUGCUCCUGGAUUCAGCGGCGGACGGGUGAGUAAUGCCUAGGAAUCUGCCUGGUAGUGGGGGAUAACGUCCGGAAACGGGCGCUAAUACCGCAUACGUCCUGAGGGAGAAAGUGGUGGAUCUUCGGACCUCACGCUAUCAGAUGAGCCUAGGUCGGAUUAGCUAGUUGGUGGGGUAAAGGCCUACCAAGGCGACGAUCCGUAACUGGUCUGAGAGGAUGAUCAGUCACACUGGAAGUGAGACAAGGUCCAGACUCCUACGGGAGGCAGCAGUCGGGAAUAUUGGACAAUGGGCGAAAGCCUGAUCCAGCCAUGCCGCGCGUGUGAAGAAGGUAUUCGGAUUGUAAAGCCAUUUAAGUUGGGAGGAAGGGCAGUAAGUUAAUACCUUGCUGUUUUGACGUUCCCAACAGAAUAAGCACCGGCUAACUUCGUG